GGUAACGGCCCACCAAGGCUAAGACGGGUAGCUGGUCUGAGAGGACGACCAGCCACACUGGAACUGAGACACGGUCCAGACACCUACGGGUGGCAGCAGUCGAGAAUUUUUCACAAUGGGGGCAACCCUGAUGGAGCGACGCCGCGUGGAGGAUGAAGGCCUUCGGGUUGUAAACUCCUGUCAUGCGGGAACAAGCAAGUGAUAGUACCGCAAGAGGAAGAGACGGCUAACUCUGUGCCAGCAGCCGCGGUAAUACAGAGGUCUCAAGCGUUGUUCGGAUUCAUUGGGCGUAAAGGGUGCGUAGGUGGUGACGCAAGUCUGGUGUGAAAUCUCGGAGCUCAACUCCGAAAUGGCACCGGAUACUGCGUGACUCGAGGACUGUAGAGGAGAUCGGAAUUCACGGUGUAGCAGUGAAAUGCGUAGAUAUCGUGAGGAAGACCAGUUGCGAAGGCGGAUCUCUGGGCAGUUCCUGACACUGAGGCACGAAGGCCAGGGAGCAAACGGGAUUAGAUACCCCUGUAGUCCUGGCAGUAAACGGUGCACGUUUGGUGUGGGCGGGUUCAGACCCCGUCCGUGCCGAGCUAACGCGUUAAACGUGCCGCCUGGGAAGUACGUCGCAAGAUAA
RNAcentral lists this ribosomal RNA (625 nucleotides) under uncultured bacterium. Its description in RNAcentral is "bacterial SSU rRNA". It matches the Rfam family "Bacterial small subunit ribosomal RNA", at positions 256 to 897 of the family's 1533-position model. The record is from RNAcentral.